CCUGCCCGGUGCUGGAAGGUUAAGGGGAUCUGUUAGAGCAAUCGAAGCAGUGAACUUAAGCCCCAGUAAACGGCGGCCGUAACUAUAACGGUCCUAAGGGAGCGAAAUUCCUUGUCGGGUAAGUUCCGACCCGCACGAAAGGCGUAACGAUUUGGGCACUGUCUCAACAACAGACUCGGUGAAAUUGUAAUUCCGGUGAAGAUGCCGGAUACCUGCGACAGGACGGAAAGACCCCAUGGAGCUUUACUGUAGCUUGA
RNAcentral lists this ribosomal RNA (257 nucleotides) under Clostridioides difficile. Its description in RNAcentral is "partial 23S ribosomal RNA". It matches the Rfam family "Bacterial large subunit ribosomal RNA", at positions 1858 to 2114 of the family's 2925-position model. The record is from RNAcentral. Lineage: Bacteria; Bacillati; Bacillota; Clostridia; Peptostreptococcales; Peptostreptococcaceae.